AUUGAACGCUGGCGGCAGGCCUAACACAUGCAAGUCGAACGGUAACAGGAAGCAGCUUGCUGCUUCGCUGACGAGUGGCGGACGGGUGAGUAAUGUCUGGGAAGCUGCCUGAUGGAGGGGGAUAACUACUGGAAACGGUAGCUAAUACCGCAUAAUGUCGCAAGACCAAAGAGGGGGACCUUCGGGCCUCUUGCCAUCGGAUGUGCCCAGAUGGGAUUAGCUUGUUGGUGGGGUAACGGCUCACCAAGGCGACGAUCCCUAGCUGGUCUGAGAGGAUGACCAGCCACACUGGAACUGAGACACGGUCCAGACUCCUACGGGAGGCAGCAGUGGGGAAUAUUGCACAAUGGGCGCAAGCCUGAUGCAGCCAUGCCGCGUGUAUGAAGAAGGCCUUCGGGUUGUAAAGUACUUUCAGCGGGGAGGAAGGGAGUAAAGUUAAUACCUUUGCUCAUUGACGUUACCUGCAGAAGAAGCACCGGCUAACUCCGUG
RNAcentral lists this ribosomal RNA (490 nucleotides) under uncultured bacterium. Its description in RNAcentral is "partial 16S ribosomal RNA". It matches the Rfam family "Bacterial small subunit ribosomal RNA", at positions 30 to 507 of the family's 1533-position model. The record is from RNAcentral.